RNAcentral lists this long non-coding RNA (2503 nucleotides) under Olea europaea subsp. europaea. Lineage: Eukaryota; Viridiplantae; Streptophyta; Magnoliopsida; Lamiales; Oleaceae. The record is from RNAcentral.
GCAGAUGUGGUAAAGGUCGCAGGUAGAUUCGGGCUGGGGAUGCAUAGAUGACUUUGGGGCAGAAUGCAUGCUGCCUAGAUCGUGCAAUUUUUCAGGGCGUUAAUGGGGUUUUUCUAAGUCCCGACCCAGCCAUUUUAGGAGGAAAAAUAUAUGGACCUGCAGCGGGAUAUUUUGAGGAUGCAAGUGGACAACUUGCACAACUUGUCCACUUGUGUGCCACUUGCAAGCUAGGCGCGAGUUGUAGGCAAGCUAAGCACGAGUUGGCAAGGAUAAAUAUCAAUGGUGCAAGCUAGACGCGAGUUGUAUGCAAGCUAGGCACGAGUUGGCGACAACUUGCAAGGCAAGUUGUAAUACCAUCUACUUGAAGACAACUAAGAAUGAGUUGGCGACAACCAAGCACGAGGUGGCGACAACCAAGCGCAAGUUGUAAAGUGGAAGGUUAAGGAGGUUAAAGUUUUUCUAUAAAUAGAGAGGUAGUCUCAUUUGUAAAGGGUAUGUAGUAGAGGUUAGAGAAUGGAGAGAAUGUAGAGUGAGUGAGUUUAUUCUUUCAAGAGAGAUUGUAAAGUUUUUCCUUUCAUUUAUAUAAAAAAAGUUUCCCCAAUCCUUACUUGUUUUCCAUAUAUUACUUACUUCAAAAUUCUCUUCUCAACGUGGGUAUAAUUUAGCCUCAUUGGUUAAAUUAUUUGUGGGCGUAGAAAGGCUGACUUAACGUUUUCUCGUGAGGUGCGGGAAUUGUAGAGCGUUAAGGCCGCACGGCUCUAGUUUGUUCGGGUGUAACGAAACUAGGCCCGUGACAAGUGGUAUCAGAGCAAGGUUCACGUGGGGUUGAACCAGUUUUUCAUCUCAGAGGUGAGGUGAUGUCCAUGUAGGUUCACGUGGCGUGGACUACGGAGGCAGUUCAAGGCGAAGGUUUGGUUGUGGUAACCAAGUGCGGCUGUGGUAGCCAGAUUCGUCGGAGAUUCUUGGAAGCUAGAUUUGGGUGAGGUGCUCAAAUGGCGGAAUCUCAAGAAACUGUUGAUAUUGAGAUUGAGGAGAGGGGUCGAGGUGCUGCCCAAACUGAAGUAAGGAAAACUAGAGGAAAAAGUAAGGUGAGGGAAACCACCAACAUGGAAGGAAAACUUGACCAAAUCAUCUCACAUAUGGGUAAUCGGGUCGAAUCUCUUGAAUGCUCCUUCGAGGCAUUGGAGGGACACGCCAUUGGAAAGAUAGAAACUCUACAAAUUAAUGUCCAAGAGGUGAUGGACACACAGGCAUCGUUGGGGGAUGAUGUCCAAGCAAUGAAAGGUGAUGUUCGAGCUGUGGUAGCCGGACAAGCCGCGGUGACGGAUGAUUUUGGUCGUCUCCAAACCAAAGUCAUGGAUGCCGUUACCGCUAUGCAUGGCCAAGUUAACCAAUUGGCUAUAAUGAUGGAAAGGAUGAGCAACCAGCUUAAUCAAUGCAAGCACUCCACUGUCGGUACAAGCGGAGGUGCCGCUUCAAGUAUUGUUGCCCCGAGGGUUGAAUUCCCGAAGUCUAAACAUUAUGAUGGGCAACAGGAUGCCAAAGUUGAUUAUAGAUCUGGUGGCAACAAACCAACUACUUGGAGUAAGGAGUAUGAUGCGAAGAAGAGGAGUACUUUUACACCUCGAGGUUGCUUUAUCUGCAAAGGACUACAUCUCAUGAGGGAUUGUCCUGAGUUGGGAUCAUUGGCAUCUAUUUCCAUUUCGGAGAGCAAACCGGAGGCCAUAGAUAGCCAAGAUGAGGAUGAAGUUCGAAUGAAUUCAUUCCAGCUGUUUGAUGCUAUGAGUGCUGAAAAUGUUUCUGUGGGAAUGGAAACACAACAACUGUCAAGGAUGCAGUUGGCGGAAGUCCUUGAAAAUGAUAAGGACAUUAUGCUAGCGGAGUUGCCGAGGGAACUACCGAAAAAGAAGGAAAGUGAGGAAGCAUUGUCAAAGGAGUCCGAAAUUGGGUGCACGAAGGUUCAAAGCUUCGACAAGUGUGGGGACACUACGACCAGAGGAGUUGUCCAUCCGAGGAACCAAAGCAGAGGUGCUGAGGGUGAAGGUUGGUGUCGAAAGUGGCAUGCAAGAGGUUGCAACGGGAAGAGGUGCAAGGGGCACUGUGGAAACCCGAUCAUCAAGGAGAUGGUGCCACAAGUUGGGAGAACUUUGAUGCCCAUGGACGUGGAAGACAAUGCAAGGUUGCAUGAGGAUGCACGAAACACGUUUCGCUACGAGGACGUUAGCGGAUUGAGUGGGGGAGAAUGUCACGGAUCGCAAGAUCAUGACUUGAGACUUGGCAUGACACGGGAAUGUCAUGGCACAAGGUGGGAAAAUGAGAUAGACUUAUGGCAAAUAAGGUCUAUGCUUCGGCAAUAUAUGGCGAUGAGUGCGUCGCCAAAUUCAGUGGGGGAGUGAUUUACACUUAACGCGGUCGCGUUCGAUCCGUCCCGUUAGCGAUCGCAAGAUAGCGCGGGUAACGCGUUUCUGAAGGACGGAAUAGCUUGCGAUAGGGGACGCAAGCA